UGAGAUUAAAAGGAAAAGGGUAUAAAUAACCCCACCCACACCUGACCAGAAAACCCUAGCCGCUAGUGCCUCGCCGGAGAAGAAGAACCAGACGCCGGAGGAGUUGGCCGCCGCCACCAGCCGUCGCACUGGGGAAGUUUUCGACCGCCGAUUGAGGUAAAUUUUCUCCUCCCUGCUCGUUUUUUGAUGCUGAGUCCACCUAUGGCCAAACUGGAGCCAAACCACCGGCUAAACGGCCGAAAAAUCCAACCGAAACCCAGCGGCCUGUCGCGUCCCUCCUCGAUUUUUGCCUCCGAUGAGGCCCUUCCCGGCCUCCAUUUGAUGCAAAUUUUAUACCACUGUGAUCACCGUUCUUUUCUCUACAGGUUGAUCAGAGCCAAACAUCAAAACGCGACUCACGCCAGAGGAGCCGCCGCACCCGAGAGCACCGCCGCCGGUAAGUUUCAAUUUUUCGUGAUUUUUCAGCCCACUGAGGGCCCUAGGGUUGUUUUAUUACAGGGAACGAUGCAAGUGUAGCCGAAUUCGACC
This 528-nucleotide long non-coding RNA is filed under the name Carica papaya (papaya). RNAcentral's name for it is "long non-coding RNA (CPAP_LNC014812)". Lineage: Eukaryota; Viridiplantae; Streptophyta; Magnoliopsida; Brassicales; Caricaceae. The record is from RNAcentral.